Molecule: ribosomal RNA, 381 nt
Filed under: uncultured eukaryote
Lineage: Eukaryota
Description: partial 18S ribosomal RNA
Rfam family: Eukaryotic small subunit ribosomal RNA
Source: RNAcentral
CAAUAGCGUAUAUUAAAGUUGUUGCAGUUAAAAAGCUCGUAGUUGGAUUUCUGGAUGGAGCGACCGGUCGGGCAUUAAUUUGUCUGCACUGGAGUCGGUUCCGUCCAUCCUCUUGGAAAGUGCGUGGGGCAUUAAGUUGUCUGGCGUAUGAUCCAAGUCGUUUACUGUGAAAAAAUUAGAGUGUUUAAAGCAGGCCUUCGCCUUGAAUACAUUAGCAUGGAAUAAUAAGAUAGGACUUUGGUCUAUUUUGUUGGUUUGCAGACCGAAGUAAUGAUUAAUAGGGAUAGUUGGGGGUAUUUAUAUUCCGAUGUCAGAGGUGAAAUUCUUAGAUUUUCGGAAGAUAAACUUAUGCGAANGNAUUUAGNAAGGAUGUUUNCAUUA